CAGCUUGUUGGUGGGGUAACGGCCUACCAAGGCGACGACGGGUAGCCGGCCUGAGAGGGCGACCGGCCACACUGGGACUGAGACACGGCCCAGACUCCUACGGGAGGCAGCAGUGGGGAAUAUUGCGCAAUGGGCGAAAGCCUGACGCAGCGACGCCGCGUGGGGGAUGAAGGCCUUCGGGUUGUAAACCCCUUUCAGCAGGGACGAAGCGAAAGUGACGGUACCUGCAGAAGAAGCGCCGGCUAACUACGUGCCAGCAGCCGCGGUAACACGUAGGGCGCAAGCGUUGUCCGGAAUUAUUGGGCGUAAAGAGCUCGUAGGCGGUCUGUUGCGUCCGCUGUGAAAACUCGGGGCUUAACCCCGAGCCUGCAGUGGAUACGGGCAGACUAGAGGUAGGUAGGGGAGAAUGGAAUUCCCGGUGUAGCGGUGAAAUGCGCAGAUAUCGGGAGGAACACCGGUGGCGAAGGCGGUUCUCUGGGCCUUACCUGACGCUGAGGAGCGAAAGCGUGGGGAGCGAACAGGAUUAGAUACCCUGGUAGUCCACGCCGUAACGUUGGGCGCUAGGUGUGGGAUCCUUCCACGGAUUCCGUGCCGCAGCUAACGCAUUAAGCGCCCCGCCUGGG
Molecule: ribosomal RNA, 623 nt
Filed under: uncultured Actinomycetes bacterium
Lineage: Bacteria; Bacillati; Actinomycetota; Actinomycetes
Description: SSU rRNA
Rfam family: Bacterial small subunit ribosomal RNA
Source: RNAcentral